UAGCGAUUUAUAUAGAGUUUUGCUAUUUUGCCGGUUUUAAUUAAGUUAAAAAUAACUUAUAAUUGACAAUAUCAAACAUGUGAACACUAUAUAACUCAAGUUUAAACCUAAGUGACUCAGUUUAAUAAGUUACCCAAUACUUUAAAAAAAAAUACUUAUGAAAUCACGAUGUAGCAAUAAUCAUUUUAUACUUUCCAAUUAAAUCUUACCUGUAAAAUGGCGCAAAUGUAGUUUUUACAAUAGUAUCUUUGACAGCUACAUUUAUAAAAUAAAGAAUAAAAACGGGGAAUGAGUCAAAGAGACAGCAACCAAAUCAAAAUAUACAAUUCAACCAAAGGUCAUUGGGUCUACAACACAGCGAAAAAUCACUCACCUAGAGGGAGCCGUGAGCCGC
RNAcentral lists this long non-coding RNA (394 nucleotides) under Mytilus galloprovincialis (Mediterranean mussel). The record is from RNAcentral. Lineage: Eukaryota; Metazoa; Mollusca; Bivalvia; Mytilida; Mytilidae.